RNAcentral lists this non-coding RNA (164 nucleotides) under Arsenophonus endosymbiont of Trialeurodes vaporariorum. Its description in RNAcentral is "FMN". It matches the Rfam family "FMN riboswitch aptamer (RFN element)". From Rfam's summary of the family: The RFN element is a highly conserved domain that is found frequently in the 5'-untranslated regions of prokaryotic mRNAs that encode for flavin mononucleotide (FMN) biosynthesis and transport proteins. This element is a metabolite-dependent riboswitch that directly binds FMN in the absence of proteins. The record is from RNAcentral. Lineage: Bacteria; Pseudomonadati; Pseudomonadota; Gammaproteobacteria; Enterobacterales; Morganellaceae.
UGUUUAUCUCAGGGCAGAGUGAAAUUCUCCACCGGCGGUGAUAUUUAUUCUGUUAAUUGAAUAAUUAAGUCCGCGAGCGUUCCAUUAUAGCAUUUUGUGAUGGAAGUCACCAGAUCCAGUGAGAUUCUGGAACCGACGGUUAUAGUCCGGAUGGGAGAUAAUAA